UUAUUACUCCCUCCGUCCGAAAAUACUUGUCAUCAGAAUGGAAAAAAAAUGAAUGUACCUAAAAUUAAAAUACGUCUAGAUACAUUCCCUUUUAUUCAUUUUGAUGACAAGUAUUUCCGGACGGAGGGAGUAUUUU
Triticum aestivum (bread wheat) is the source of this 136-nucleotide non-coding RNA. NCBI's taxonomy places the organism in Eukaryota, Viridiplantae, Streptophyta, Magnoliopsida, Poales, Poaceae. The record is from Rfam.